GGCCUCACCAAGGAAAAGAGGAAAGAAAGAAAGAACAAAACCCUAGUUAGAAAAUUCAAGAGAAAAUUGGUGGAUUUCAAGGAAUUAAGCAAGUAAAGGUAAAAUUUCUUGAUUUUAGCUUGUGAUCUACCUUUCCUAUGCAUUCUUUUUCAUUUUCCAUGGCUGAGAAUCAAGUUUGCACGAGGAUACCUUUGCUGGACGGACAUG
This 207-nucleotide long non-coding RNA is filed under the name Theobroma cacao (cacao). RNAcentral describes it as "long non-coding RNA (TCAC_LNC001698)". The record is from RNAcentral. Lineage: Eukaryota; Viridiplantae; Streptophyta; Magnoliopsida; Malvales; Malvaceae.